RNAcentral lists this ribosomal RNA (497 nucleotides) under uncultured bacterium. Its description in RNAcentral is "partial 16S ribosomal RNA". It matches the Rfam family "Bacterial small subunit ribosomal RNA", at positions 28 to 507 of the family's 1533-position model. The record is from RNAcentral.
GAUGAACGCUGGCGGCGUGCCUAAUACAUGCAAGUCGAGCGAACAGACGAGGAGCUUGCUCCUCUGGCGUUAGCGGCGGACGGGUGAGUAACACGUGGAUAACCUACCUAUAAGACUGGGAUAACUUCGGGAAACCGGAGCUAAUACCGGAUAAUAUAUUGAACCGCAUGGUUCAAUAGUGAAAGACGGUUUUGCUGUCACUUAUAGAUGGAUCCGCGCCGCAUUAGCUAGUUGGUAAGGUAACGGCUUACCAAGGCAACGAUGCGUAGCCGACCUGAGAGGGUGAUCGGCCACACUGGAACUGAGACACGGUCCAGACUCCUACGGGAGGCAGCAGUAGGGAAUCUUCCGCAGAGGGCGAAAGCCUGACGGAGCAACGCCGCGUGAGUGAUGAAGGUCUUCGGAUCGUAAAACUCUGUUAUUAGGGAAGAACAAAUGUGUAAGUAACUAUGCACGUCUUGACGGUACCUAAUCAGAAAGCCACGGCUAACUACGUG